UACGUAGGUGGCAAGCGUUGUCCGGAAUUAUUGGGCGUAAAGCGCGCGCAGGCGGUUUUUUAAGUCUGAUGUGAAAGCCCACGGCUCAACCGUGGAGGGUCAUUGGAAACUGGAGAACUUGAGUACAGAAGAGGAAAGCGGAAUUCCACGUGUAGCGGUGAAAUGCGUAGAGAUGUGGAGGAACACCAGUGGCGAAGGCGGCUUUCUGGUCUGUAACUGACGCUGAGGCGCGAAAGCGUGGGGAGCAAACAGG
Molecule: ribosomal RNA, 253 nt
Filed under: uncultured bacterium
Lineage: Bacteria
Description: partial 16S ribosomal RNA
Rfam family: Bacterial small subunit ribosomal RNA
Source: RNAcentral